UGAACUAUUUUCUAAUAAAGAAUUGGAGGAUAUAGGAAACAGUGCAGGUGAUACUAUUACGAGCUCUUCAAAUGCGCCAUCAACAGAAGAUAAACAUGUUCCUAAUACCAACGUUGCUGGAAAUAUUUUGAAGAUCAUAAAAAAUAUCCCACCUCCCGCCGUUAAAAUAAAUGAAGACAACUUAAUUGAUCCGGAUAUUAUUUGUGAAAGAGAUUACAGUGUUCCUUGUCCAAAUGAUUUUAAUUAUAUUGGAUCUGUUUAUGAAACGGAUGAUGAGAUAUGUGCACCCUCAUCAACCUAUGACGGUUAAAAGAAAAAAAAAAUUAAAGUAAAAGCAAAGAACAAACUGUAUGA
Molecule: long non-coding RNA, 354 nt
Filed under: Piliocolobus tephrosceles (Ugandan red Colobus)
Lineage: Eukaryota; Metazoa; Chordata; Mammalia; Primates; Cercopithecidae
Description: lncRNA (ENSPTEG00000002791.1)
Source: RNAcentral